UGCGCAGUGUGUAAUGAUAAAAUGUAUUGCGUUUUGUGUCGUGUGAUCGUGUUCCGUUAUGAGGGGGUCAGCAAUGGGGCUUUGUUCCGAUAGGUUUGCGUCUUGAGGAUGCACUGGUUAAUCUUAGCGAUGUACCACGAAUCCGACAGCGUAGGCUGAUGCGGGGAAUCGCUUUUGUUGUUGUCACCUUGCAUACCUGGACAAGUGUACGCGGUGAGGCAGGGCUUUUGUAUGAGUUUACCAUUUUUCCGUUUGUUGUCGGUUGCUAAUAUCAAUUUGACAAAUAAAUGUUAGUUUAAGCCGCUAAAGACAAGUUUAUUUAAAUUUAAAUUGAAACCUUGCAGUUUUUUCACUUAGAUUUAUUGACCUUAAAAACUCGCUUUAAUAUAUUUUGUCUUGCAUUGUGGAUCUAAGACAAAAAUUGCACCUUUUUCAAUUAGAUUUAUUUACCUUAAAAACUCGCUUAAAUAUAUUUUGUCUUGCAUUGUGGAUCUAAGACACAAAUUGGAGCUUUUAUUGCAUUGUAUGUCUUUGAUCCCGCGAUACUCUUUUCCCUAACUGAUUGAGUUAAAAUUUAUUAUCUUAAUAAUUUAGGACACUUUUGAAUGUUCUCUCUUUUUUAUAUUUUAUAUAUUUUUUAUGUUCUCUAAACACAACAUUAUUAACCAAUCACCUUACACUUUCAUCCUCCAAUCAAUUAAGAUAUUUUUUGACCAAUAGCGUUAUUAUUUACUGAGGCUUCGCUUGAGGGAUAUUUUGAUUAACCGCAAAUUUACGUCAUACAACAUCUGUGUAUAAUAUCACAAUUUACAUGCGCUCUAUAAACUGCUCAUUGGCAUUGCGCAAAAUAUCCUUCAAGACUUAUUCUUAUUCAAUAUCAAAUUAUGGUAAGUCUUUUAUCUUAAUUGUUUUUUAUUUUGUUGUGUGUUUGUUUGCCUUCAAUUUGUACUUGAGUAUUUAGGAAUAAUUUAACUUAUAAGUUUUUUGUAUUCUAAUGUUACUUCUUGCGCAACGUGUUUUAAUAAUUUUCUAAAAAGUAUAUCAGCGUAAUUUGUUUAAAAUGGAUCAAGUUAGGGUAUUUGGCUGAGCAGUAGUAUGUCCUCUCAAAUGUUGCAACAUAAGAAGGCUUUGACACAGACGUAGAGGUGGGUUUUAUUUGCUUGUUUUGAGGAUGUUACCCCGACGGGAGUUUCUAGAAAUGAGCAUUAAAACAUUCGAAACGUCAAAUACCAGAGUAUUAUCUUUAUAAGGAUCAAUACAAUGUCCACUUCCUGACGAGAAUCUGAUUAUUUUCCGUAAACCUGAUGGCGAAUAUGAACAUUAAAGGGAGUAAACGUAAAGGCAGAGAAAACAAAAUAUCGUUUGAAAACUUUAAGUUAAAGGACGUUAUGUUUGAAGCGUUACAAGACAGGUAUACCGUUAGUGAAAAAGAAUUAUUUAGAGUUGUCGGGAAUAAACUAAAGAAUGCACCAGAAAGAUUGAACCAUUCCAUUGAUAUCUAACAUUUAUAUUAUAUUAUAUGUAUAUAGUUUAUGUUAUAGUAUAUAGUUACUUUUUUUAAAUAAAUAAACAAUAAUAUUAUACAAUUCAAAAUGUUUUAAUGUUCUUUUAAGCUUGGUUUCCAAUAGUUGUAGAAAUGUUGUACAACAGUUCUGUAACAACUUUGUUUUAUAAUGGAAACGUUGUCUAGCAUAGUUGCACAAAUUAACGUCGGUUGUACAACACAAUUUUUGUGGUAAAACAAUGGCUGCGAAGAUAGAAAUUAAUCUAUUUCCGCAAUAAUUAUACAACGGUAGAUAAUACAACAAUCUACUCUUCAUUUUGCGAACAUGUAUUACAGAUUUGACAUCUAUAAAUAAACAGAUUUGCAUUUAAUACAGAAAUUAUAGAAACCUAAUAAUUUUAAAUACGUCUUAUAUACGUCUAUUAUCAACGCAUUUUAUUUAUCUAAUUAAUACGAAUUAUAGAUUUGCAUUUAAUACUUAAAUUAUAGAUAUCUGAGACGUAUUUUAAAUACGUAUAUUAUACGUCUAUUACCAACGCAUUGUAAUCAUCUAAUUAAUACGUAUUAUAGAUUUGCAUUUAAGAAUUAGAAUAUA
Hydra vulgaris (swiftwater hydra) is the source of this 2099-nucleotide long non-coding RNA. RefSeq lists it as uncharacterized. Lineage: Eukaryota; Metazoa; Cnidaria; Hydrozoa; Anthoathecata; Hydridae. The record is from RefSeq and is a predicted model, not a curated record.